AGUGAACGCUGGCGGUAGGCCUAACACAUGCAAGUCGAACGGCAGCACAGUAAGAGCUUGCUCUUACGGGUGGCGAGUGGCGGACGGGUGAGGAAUACAUCGGAAUCUACUUUUUCGUGGGGGAUAACGUAGGGAAACUUACGCUAAUACCGCAUACGUCCUACGGGUGAAAGCAGGGGAUCUUCGGACCUUGCGCGAUUGAAUGAGCCGAUGUCGGAUUAGCUAGUUGGCGGGGUAAAGGCCCACCAAGGCGACGAUCCGUAGCUGGUCUGAGAGGAUGAUCAGCCACACUGGAACUGAGACACGGUCCAGACUCCUACGGGAGGCAGCAGUGGGGAAUAUUGGACAAUGGGCGCAGGCCUGAUCCAGCCAUACCGCGUGGGUGAAGAAGGCCUUCGGGUUGUAAAGCCCUUUUGUUGGGAAAGAAAAGCAGCAGGUUAAUACCCCGCUGUUCUGACGGUACCCAAAGAAUAAGCACCGGCUAACUUCGUG
This 492-nucleotide ribosomal RNA is filed under the name uncultured bacterium. RNAcentral describes it as "partial 16S ribosomal RNA". It matches the Rfam family "Bacterial small subunit ribosomal RNA", at positions 29 to 507 of the family's 1533-position model. The record is from RNAcentral.